UACGAAAGGGGCUAGCGUUGCUCGGAUUUACUGGGCGUAAAGGGCGCGUAGGCGGACAGUUUAGUCAGAGGUGAAAGCCCAGGGCUCAACCUUGGAAUUGCCUUUGAUACUGGCUGUCUUGAGUACGGGAGAGGUGAGUGGAACUCCGAGUGUAGAGGUGAAAUUCGUAGAUAUUCGGAAGAACACCAGUGGCGAAGGCGACUCACUGGCCCGUUACUGACGCUGAGGCGCGAAAGCGUGGGGAGCAAACAGG
Molecule: ribosomal RNA, 253 nt
Filed under: uncultured bacterium
Lineage: Bacteria
Description: partial 16S ribosomal RNA
Rfam family: Bacterial small subunit ribosomal RNA
Source: RNAcentral